CGUAGCAAGCCUAAGCCGCUCAGCGGUGGAGGCGCAGCGAAAGCGAGUCUGAAUAGGGCGACUAAGUUGCUGGCAUAAGACCCGAAGGGGAGGUGAUCUUACCAUGACCAGGUUGAAGCGUUAGUAAAAUAACGUGGAGGACCGAACCGGUGUAGCUUGAGAACUGCUCGGAUGAGUUGUGGUAAGGAGUGAAAGGCUAAUCAAACCCCCUGAUAGCUGGUUCUUUCCGAAAUAUAUUGAGGUAUAGCGUCGAGCGCUGACCUGUGGAGGUAGAGCACUGAAUAAGCUAGGGCCCCUACCGGGGUACUGAACUUUAUCAAACUCCGAAUGCCAUAGGGUGUAGCUCGGCAGUCAGACUUAGGGUGCUAACGUCCUAAGUCGAGAGGGCAACAACCCAGACCAUCAGUUAAGGUCCCAAAAUGUAGCUCAGUGGUAAAGGAUGUGAUUUUACUUAGACAAUGGGGAUGUUGGCUUAGAGGCAGCCACCAUUUAAACAGUGCGUAAUAGCUGACCCAUCGAGUGAAAUUGCGCCGAAAAUGAUCGGGACUUAAGCUACAUACCGAAGCUAUGGAUUUCUGAUCUUCGGAUCAGGAGUAGUAGGAAAGCGUUCCAAGUGCAGCGAAGGAGAAGGGGCAACCGACUCUGGAGCGCUUGGAAGUGAGAAUGCAGACAUGAGUAACGAUAAAGAUGGUUAAAGUCCAUCUCGCCGUAAGGAUAAGGUUUCCUGGGGAAGGCUCGUCCGCCCAGGGUUAGUCGGGAGCUAAGAUGAGGCCGUAAGGAGUAAUCGAUGCACAGAAGGUUAAUAUUCCUUCACCGGCUUGUAACUAUCCCCAGAAUGCGGAUCGACGGACCCUACAGACCUGUUUUGACAAGGCACUGCAAAGCUACGGCUGAGUGGGUGUAGGGAAACAAGGUUACAAGAAAAGCUCUAGGAUUACUAUGCAGGUCGCCCGUACCGCAAACCGACACAGGUAUCCGGGAUGAGUAUUCU
Molecule: ribosomal RNA, 991 nt
Filed under: Alexandrium margalefii
Lineage: Eukaryota; Dinophyceae; Gonyaulacales; Pyrocystaceae
Description: partial Bacterial large subunit ribosomal RNA
Rfam family: Bacterial large subunit ribosomal RNA
Source: RNAcentral